Molecule: long non-coding RNA, 1315 nt
Filed under: Homo sapiens (human)
Lineage: Eukaryota; Metazoa; Chordata; Mammalia; Primates; Hominidae
Description: HSALNT0289976
Source: RNAcentral
CCACAACCUACCUGCCAGUUUGGUCACAGGUAUCUCCCAAGAUACACAAUCACCUGGAGUGGAAGCUUCAGGACAACAGGGCUGGGAACCUGCGUGUUUCAGAUAAGAUACCUCUUGGAUACCUCUUGAUUCACUCUUCUUCCUGCCACUGUGGUGAGGAUCAUUGAGUCUUUGACCAGCUUUAUGCAGUUGCAUGAAUACCCUUUAUGGAGGUUACCAAAUCCAGCAAAGUCAUCUUCCUACUAGAAAAAGACAGCAUCUCCUCAUCCUGCAUUCACUACAUGGUGGAACAAUGGGUGCUCAUGAGAGAUCGGGGGAAGAAAAGCAAAGAACCUGGUGUUGCCUCUUUGGGCUGAAAUGGAAGCAUCUAAAAUGGUGGCUUGAGCAGCCCUGGAGGACCACAGCAUCUGAGUGACAACUGGAGAGAUGCCCAGCAACAGAAGGGAGGUUUGGGUUCCCCACUUUUCACCCAGCACCAAGUGGGAGAGGAAAAAAUGAAUUGUUAUUUAGGCCAGUAUUGUUCAGGCAUCUCUUGUUUCCAGAAGUCAAGUCAGUAUCAAAUGCAUCAACAAAGACAUCUGAGACACCUCGAUAACUUCCUUUUUCCAUUUUUGAAAGUUGUGAGGCUCUCAUACGCAUGUAUAAAAUAGGGUGCCACUUUCCAAAGUGUAAGAGGAUUUGGAGCAGAAAAUGGUUUCCUAAGUUUGUCUCUUGAACCAGUCAAUAAAUCUGACAGCUGUCCCUGAAUUAUAGCUAAAAUGUUGGAUCUGCAGAGCACAGCAUCAUUCCUCAGAAGGAACGCACAUGUCUCCUGGAAGCCCAAGGCUCGAAACUUUUCUCCGUGGGUUUUUGGUUGUGAAUCAGACUUGCUCUUUCCGUCAUAAACUGCAAUGAUGAGGCUAUAAGAGAAGUAGGAGGAAAGUGUUUUGUUAGAACAAACAGGGAGGGAGAGAGCUUGAACAAAGAGAAGGAAUCACUCCCCAAAGAGGCAAACUCAGUGAGCGGAAUUGAUGGAGACGAUUGAAGAAGCCAGGGGUUAUGAUAAUUGCAAAAUGUCUUGUAGUUGUUUCCAUAACAAACAAUUUUGCCAGAGAGGGCUCAGAGGCACUGUGCAGCUUGGAGGAAUCAACUCAAGGAGUCUGAGAGCCUUGGAAACUGCCAUCCUUCUUUCAAUGCCGGAGUGCAUGCUGGGAGGGAUCAAAAUGGAGCGGACACUGGAAGAAAACUGAUCCAAAUCCCAUUCAGGCAAUCCCAGGGGACGACUCUGUUUUCAAGGCUAGCUCAGAAAUUUUCAGGAGAAAGGCGUUCACUUGCU